RNAcentral lists this ribosomal RNA (429 nucleotides) under Chloroflexota bacterium. RNAcentral describes it as "Chloroflexi bacterium partial 16S ribosomal RNA". It matches the Rfam family "Bacterial small subunit ribosomal RNA", at positions 355 to 776 of the family's 1533-position model. Lineage: Bacteria; Bacillati; Chloroflexota. The record is from RNAcentral.
UGGGGAAUAUUGCACAAUGGGCGCAAGCCUGAUGCAGCCAUGCUGCGUGUAUGAAGAAGGCCUUCGGGUUGUAAAGUACUUUCAGUCGGGAGGAAGGUGUCAAGGUUAAUAACCUUGGCAAUUGACGUUAUCGACAGAAGAAGCACCGGCUAACUCCGUGCCAGCAGCCGCGGUAAUAUGUAGGGUGCAAGCGUUAAUCGGAAUUACUGGGCGUAAAGCGCACGCAGGCGGUUGAUUGAGUCAGAUGUGAAAUCCCCGGGCUUAACCCGCGAAUUGCAUCUGAUACUGGUCAGCUAGAGUCUUGUAGAGAGAGGUAGGAUUCCAUGUGUAGCGGUGAAAUGCGUAGAGAUGUGGAGGAAUACCGGUGGCGAAGGCGGCCCCCUGGACAAAGACUGACGCUCAAGUGCGAAAGCGUGGGGAGCAAACGGG